Molecule: ribosomal RNA, 468 nt
Filed under: uncultured bacterium
Lineage: Bacteria
Description: partial 16S ribosomal RNA
Rfam family: Bacterial small subunit ribosomal RNA
Source: RNAcentral
GACGAACGCUGGCGGCGUGCUUAACACAUGCAAGUCGAACGGAAAGGCCCUGCUUUUGUGGGGUGCUCGAGUGGCGAACGGGUGAGUAACACGUGAGUAACCUGCCCUUGACUUUGGGAUAACUUCAGGAAACUGGGGCUAAUACCGGAUAGGAGCUCCUGCUGCAUGGUGGGGGUUGGAAAGUUUCGGCGGUUGGGGAUGGACUCGCGGCUUAUCAGCUUGUUGGUGGGGUAGUGGCUUACCAAGGCUUUGACGGGUAGCCGGCCUGAGAGGGUGACCGGCCACAUUGGGACUGAGAUACGACACAGACUCCUACGGGAGGCAGCAGUGGGGAAUAUUGCACAAUGGGCGGAAGCCUGAUGCAGCAACGCCGCGUGCGGGAUGACGGCCUUCGGGUUGUAAACCGCUUUCGCCUGUGACGAAGCGUGAGUGACGGUAAUGGGUAAAGAAGCACCGGCUAACUACGUG